RNAcentral lists this long non-coding RNA (243 nucleotides) under Malus domestica (apple). RNAcentral describes it as "long non-coding RNA (MDOM_LNC016758)". Lineage: Eukaryota; Viridiplantae; Streptophyta; Magnoliopsida; Rosales; Rosaceae. The record is from RNAcentral.
AAAACAAAGUUUAAAACACUAAACUAGACUCAAAGAAUGCAAAACUAAAGGUUAAAACACUUAAACAAACUUAAAACUCAAAACAGCAACCUAAUGACUCAAAACUGCCUAAAAACCACUUUCUGGGCAGUUUUGAGAACCUAACAAGAACUUGGACGAAUUUGAGUUAAAACUUGAAUCAAAACACUUAGAAACACAAAUCAAAACACUUUCUAACUAAUCUAAGACUUCAAAAUAAAGGGG